RNAcentral lists this long non-coding RNA (2294 nucleotides) under Homo sapiens (human). RNAcentral's name for it is "HSALNT0221036". Lineage: Eukaryota; Metazoa; Chordata; Mammalia; Primates; Hominidae. The record is from RNAcentral.
CCUGGUCUCCCUAUGUUUUCCAGGCUGUUCUUGAACUCCUGGACUCAGCAAUCCCCCCUCCUCAGCCUCCCAAAGUGCUGGGACUACAGGCAUGAGCCACCACACCCGGCCAAAAAAAUUAAAGAAUAUCUAGUAGGACAAAGCUACAUAAACAGCAACUAUUCUGCAAUACAUUUUAUACUGUCACCUUAAGAAUGUACUGUGGGGGCUGCAGCAAUUAACAAGGUGGAAUUGGAGAAGGCUUUGCACGGCAGAUGCUACUUGUGUUGGCCUUUGAUGGAGCAAUAAGACUUUAUAGGUGCAGAAGAUGAUGAAGGACAUUCCAGGACAAACAAGAUACUACAGAUACAAAGGCACCGAGGUACGGAAGUGAACUGUCUGUGGGUGACUUGCCUGGAUGCCGGCUAUAGCUGCAGCCCCCAAAGUCGAAGCUACCAGAACAGGUUGGAUGAGGAUGGCCCAAAGAUUAUGGAGUUGCUGGCCCCAAAGCAAGUCAGACACUAUGGGAAGUUUGCAUGAAUCAUGCCCUUGGAUAGACAACCUAAAUCAUACCUCAUCGAGCAUGGAUCCUGGUCAGCAUACCAAGUCAAGGCAAGUAAAGACUGAAGAAAUAUCACCUGGUCUGCAGCUCCCCCCAGAACGAAGUCUGCUACUGAUGGCAGAAGCAUAGAUAGACCAAGGGUAUCACUAUGUAAUGAUGGAAGAAGGAAAAACCCCAUGCAUUCACUCAUGUCUUGAAUCACCUAGAGAAGAGAGGGAAUCUGCCAAAGUGGACACAAUAGAAAUUCAGUUCUAAAUUUGGAGGAAAUGAGGCCCACUCUCAGAUAAGAUGAAAAGUAAAAGCCCUAGGAUCCAAUGGGGUAUUAAACAAAUAUUUAAAAGUAGAGAGGUGGUGACCAGUUAUUUCCUGAUAUAUAGAAUACCAUGGGUCCAUAAAGAAUUUUUUAGAGUAUCAAUAUUAUUAACACUUUGAAGAAGACAUAUGAAAAACUGAUUAAAUUAUAAAUUAGGAAAUCAUAGAUCAUUACUAUUUGUAGCCUCUCUACUCCCCUCUGAUUACAGAACUUUAGGCAGUUUGUCUGGAUUGGUGAUUGCUGGAUAAAAGCUCAAGAAAAGAAAGUAGCCAUCAAGAUACUUCUCUUGGGAGGCCGAGGCGGGCAGAUCACUUGAGGUCAGGAGUUUGAGACCAGCCUGGCCAACAUGGUGAAACCCCAUCUCUGCCAAAAAAUACCAAAAACAUUAGCUAGCCAUGGUGGCGCAUGCCUGAAGUCCCAGCUGCUCAGGAGGCUGAGGCACAAGAAUCACUUGAACCCAGGAAGUAGAGGUUGCAGUGAGCAGAGAUUGUGCCACUGAACUCCAGCCUGUGUGACAGAAUGAGACUCCGUCUCCAAAACAACAACAACAAAAUACUUACCUUGCAUUCACAGAUUUUAUGAAGAAAAGUUUGGUAUUGUUAGAUUAGAUGUACAAGCUAUGUUCCCAUAUGGGAUUUUAGAAUCAGGAAAUCUGGAUUCUUUUCCCAGCUCUGCCACUUACCAGCUAUAUAAUUUGGGGCAAGAUACUCUCUCCGAUCCUCAGUUUCCUCAUCACUAAAAGGAGAGGAAAAAGAUUUCUUCUUUCAUUCUAAAAUUCCACCACUAGAAAUUUUAGGAAUUAAUCAUGAAUAUACACAAGAGUUAUCAUAAUAUUAUUUAUAUCAGCAAAACAUUCAAGGGAACACCCAAAUAUUAGCAGUAGAGGAUGGCAAAUAAAGCAUGAUAUGUUUACCAAAUGGAAGGCGCUACCAUCAUUAAAAUAAAGAAAAAUAAAUCAGAGACAAUGAUGUUCCAGCUGCAUUAUGAGAAACAAAAAAAUUCAAAGUCCCAAAGCAUAGUAUAUCAUUUUGUCAAAAAAGGAAAAAAAAAUGUAUAGAAAAAAGACAAAAAAUACAUACACCAAAUUAAUGAGAGUGAUUAUGUUUGGGUGGAGGAAUUAUGACUGAUUUUUCUUUGUCUAUGUUUUCUAAAAUUUCUAUAAAACACCUGUACAAAUAAAAUUAUAAUAAUAAGAAAGAAAAGUUAAUAUUAAAUAACUAUUCCACAAGGUUACUGUGAAGAUAAAAUGAAAUAAAGCAAGGCAAUGUUGACCUAAUAUUAGUUUUUAAUAUUGCAAACAUCUCUCUGUGACUGUUAGGAGACCCAGUUUCCUAUGGCAAGUACUAAUUGCAUUAUCCUUUCUAGAGAACCCUAUGUGAAGUCUGAAGUGAAAGUGUGAUAGCAUAGCUGGCUACUUUCAGGAGUGCCCUAUGGUGAUGG